ACUUUUCGCAGUGGUCUAUGAACGAUGUCAUCCUCGCACAAAACCUAAAACCUCUACCUGACGUUUUUAAACAUUAAACCUCGAUGUUUCUGAACAACCAAUCUUUCACUUUUGCCCAUCAGGACUCAUCAAUGGGACUCUCCGCCAUCCGCCGCAAAUGGCAACAGAAGAAUUUGUGUUCAUACAGGAAACACGAGGCUUCAUAUCAUGUGGGCCUCUAUUUGAUAUAAUAAGCACGCAAAUCUAAGACAGAGAAAAGAAUAAUACCAAAAUUCAAAGCCACGAAUAUAACAAUAUUGAAGUCAUGG
This 308-nucleotide unclassified non-coding RNA is filed under the name Hevea brasiliensis (rubber tree). Lineage: Eukaryota; Viridiplantae; Streptophyta; Magnoliopsida; Malpighiales; Euphorbiaceae. The record is from RNAcentral.